CCUACGGGUGGCAGCAGUGGGGAAUAUUGCACAAUGGGGGAAACCCUGAUGCAGCGACGCCGCGUGAGUGAUGAAGUAUUUCGGUUUGUAAAGCUCUAUCAUCAGGGAAGAUAAUGACGGUAUCUGACUAAUAAGCACCGGCUAACUACGUGCCAGCAGCCGCGGUAAUACGUAGGGUGCAAGCGUUAUCCGGAUUUACUGGGUGUAAAGGGAGCGUAGACGGCAGUAUAAGUCAGGAGUGAAAUGCCGGGGCUUAACCCCAGAACUGCAUUUGAAACUGUGCAGCUAGAGUGCGGGAGAGGUAAGUGGAAUUCUUAGUGUAGCGGUGAAAUGCGUAGAUAUUAGGAGGAACACCAGUGGCGAAGGCGACUUACUGGACUGUAACUGACGUUGAGGCUCGAAAUCGUGGGGAGCAAACAGGAUUAGAUACCCUGGUAGUC
Molecule: ribosomal RNA, 440 nt
Filed under: uncultured bacterium
Lineage: Bacteria
Description: partial 16S ribosomal RNA
Rfam family: Bacterial small subunit ribosomal RNA
Source: RNAcentral